This is a non-coding RNA of Marmota flaviventris (yellow-bellied marmot), 74 nucleotides long. The record is from the annotation of a RefSeq genome assembly. NCBI's taxonomy places the organism in Eukaryota, Metazoa, Chordata, Mammalia, Rodentia, Sciuridae.
GGCCGGUUAGCUCAGUUGGUUAGAGCUUGGUGCUGAUAACGCCAAGGUCGUGGGUUCGAUCCCCGUACGGGCCA